RNAcentral lists this transfer RNA (95 nucleotides) under Hydrogenophaga intermedia. Its description in RNAcentral is "tRNA-Asn". Lineage: Bacteria; Pseudomonadati; Pseudomonadota; Betaproteobacteria; Burkholderiales; Comamonadaceae. The record is from RNAcentral.
GGCAGGCCAGCCUGCGCUUCUGGGGCGCCACGCUGUUGCUGUGGCUGUGGUGCCGCGCCCGUGGCGUGCCGCUGUUCGAACGCGACGGCACGCUC